ACGGCAGCUGCAGAGGAAGCCAGGCACUGAGCCUGCGGAGCCAGAACCCUGCCCCAGCACUGCAGCAUCACAGCACAAAGAAAACAAACAGCAACUACAUCAAACAGCAACUGAACUUCUUGGGUGAGAGGAAUCACCUACAUGUCUGGGACUGAGUCUUCUGUUAUUGGUCCAGGGGAGGGAGAUAUCUCAUUCAUGAUGUGUCAUUGGUGAGUUCAUAUGCAAGCAACGUCCAGCCUUGAAGAUGACAUCAUAGGGGUUCGCCACUGGUUUCCUGCCCACAAGCUGUCUUUGUUCUCAUUUGAAUUGUGGCUUCAUAUUCAUACAUUCAAUCAUAACUAAUUGUUGCAAUGAGCUACAACCUACCGACAGCUAUCAAACCAACACACUCAUUCCCCUGAUUAUUUUGACACCAAGCAUGACAUGUUUAUCUUGUUCCGUUAUAUUAAUACAUAUAUAUCUGGUUUUA
This is a long non-coding RNA of Pseudophryne corroboree (corroboree frog), 469 nucleotides long. RefSeq lists it as uncharacterized. Lineage: Eukaryota; Metazoa; Chordata; Amphibia; Anura; Myobatrachidae. The transcript is spliced from 2 exons. The record is from RefSeq and is a predicted model, not a curated record.